RNAcentral lists this ribosomal RNA (596 nucleotides) under uncultured bacterium. RNAcentral's name for it is "bacterial SSU rRNA". It matches the Rfam family "Bacterial small subunit ribosomal RNA", at positions 338 to 948 of the family's 1533-position model. The record is from RNAcentral.
CCUACGGGAGGCAGCAGUGGGGAAUAUUGGACAAUGGGCGAAAGCCUGAUCCAGCAAUGCCGCGUGAGUGAUGAAGGCCUUCGGGUCGUAAAGCUCUUUUACCAGGGAUGAUAAUGACAGUACCUGGAGAAUAAGCUCCGGCUAACUCCGUGCCAGCAGCCGCGGUAAUACGGAGGGAGCUAGCGUUGUUCGGAAUUACUGGGCGUAAAGAGUACGUAGGCGGUUAUUCAAGUCAGAGGUGAAAGCCCGGGGCUCAACCCCGGAACUGCCUUUGAAACUAGAUAACUAGAGUCUUGGAGAGGUUAGUGGAAUUCCGAGUGUAGAGGUGAAAUUCGUAGAUAUUCGGAAGAACACCAGUGGCGAAGGCGACUAACUGGACAAGUACUGACGCUGAGGUACGAAAGCGUGGGGAGCAAACAGGAUUAGAUACCCUGGUAGUCCACGCCGUAAACGAUGAUAACUAGUUGUUCGGUCACUUGGUGACUGAGUGACGCAGCUAACGCAUUAAGUUAUCCGCCUGGGGAGUACGGUCGCAAAGUAAUUAAAACUACAAUGAAUUGACGGNNGAGACGCGACGACGACGACGACGAGGAGAG